RNAcentral lists this ribosomal RNA (361 nucleotides) under uncultured soil bacterium. RNAcentral describes it as "bacterial SSU rRNA". It matches the Rfam family "Bacterial small subunit ribosomal RNA", at positions 26 to 387 of the family's 1533-position model. The record is from RNAcentral.
AGAGUGAACGCUGGCGGUAGGCCUAACACAUGCAAGUCGAACGGCAGCACAGUGGUAGCAAUACCAUGGGUGGCGAGUGGCGGACGGGUGAGGAAUACAUCGGAAUCUACCUUUUGGUGGGGGAUAACGUAGGGAAACUUACGCUAAUACCGCAUACGCCCUUCGGGGGAAAGCCGGGGACCUUCGGGCCUGGCGCUGAUAGAUGAGCCGAUGUCGGAUUAGCUAGUGUGAGUAUGGCUCACAAGCGACGAUCCGUAGCUGGUCUGAGAGGAUGAUCAGCCACACUGGAACUGAAGACACGGUCCAGACUCCGUACGGGAGCAGCAGGUGGGAAUAGUGGACAAGUGGGCGCAAGCCUGAC